RNAcentral lists this long non-coding RNA (196 nucleotides) under Monodelphis domestica (gray short-tailed opossum). Its description in RNAcentral is "lncRNA (ENSMODG00000035028.2)". The record is from RNAcentral. Lineage: Eukaryota; Metazoa; Chordata; Mammalia; Didelphimorphia; Didelphidae.
AUGAAUCCCAUCUUUGAUACUUCCUUCUUGUGUGACCUCAGCUACCUAUCAGAAUCUUUCUCCCUUCUCUAUCUCACCUGGAAGAAUGAUAAUCCAAACAACAAUCUAAUGGAAGAAUGGACUGGAUAGACUUCUAGAUGUUUGCUGGGGAGGUGAAACAAUUUACUGUUCUAUUGCUAUAAAAAUAAACAAACAA